GACGAACGCUGGCGGCGUGCUUAACACAUGCAAGUCGAACGGAAAGGCCCUGCUUUUGUUGGUUGCUCGAGUGGCGAACGGGUGAGUAACACGUGAGUAACCUGCCCUUGACUUUGGGAUAACUUCAGGAAACUGGGGCUAAUACCGGAUAGGAGCUCCUGCUGCAUGGUGGGGGUUGGAAAGUUUCGGCGGUUGGGGAUGGACUCGCGGCUUAUCAGCUUGUUGGUGGGGUAGUGGCUUACCAAGGCUUUGACGGGUAGCCGGCCUGAGAGGGUGAACGGCCACAUUGGGACUGAGAUACGGCCCAGACUCAUACGGGAGGCAGCAGUGGGGAAUAUUGCACAAUGGGCGGAAGCCUGAUGCAGAAACACCGCGUGCGGGAUGACGGCCUUCGGGGUGUAAACCGAUGUCGCAUGUGACGAAGCGGGAGUGACGGUAAUGGGUAAAGAAGCACCGGCUAACUACGUG
This 468-nucleotide ribosomal RNA is filed under the name uncultured bacterium. RNAcentral describes it as "partial 16S ribosomal RNA". It matches the Rfam family "Bacterial small subunit ribosomal RNA", at positions 28 to 507 of the family's 1533-position model. The record is from RNAcentral.